RNAcentral lists this ribosomal RNA (388 nucleotides) under uncultured bacterium. RNAcentral's name for it is "bacterial SSU rRNA". It matches the Rfam family "Bacterial small subunit ribosomal RNA", at positions 28 to 417 of the family's 1533-position model. The record is from RNAcentral.
GACGAACGCUGGCGGUGUGCUUAACACAUGCAAGUCGAGCGGUAAGGCCCUUUCGGGGGUACACGAGCGGCGAACGGGUGAGUAACACGUGGGUGACCUGCCCUCAGCUCUGGGAUAAGCCUGGGAAACCGGGUCUAAUACUGGAUAUGACUCCAUGACGCAUGUUGUGGGGUGGAAAGCCUUGUGCGGCUGAGGAUGGGCCCGCGGCCUAUCAGCUUGUUGGUGGGGUGANGGCCUACCAAGGCGACGACGGGUAGCCGGCCUGAGAGGGCGACCGGCCACACUGGGACUGAGACACGGCCCAGACUCCUACGGGAGGCAGCAGUGGGGAAUCUUGCGCAAUGGGCGAAAGCCUGGCGCAGCGACGCCGCGUGAGGGAUGACGGCCU